ACGGGUGCGUAACGCGUGGGAAUCUGCCCUUAGGUUCGGAAUAACAGCUGGAAACGGCUGCUAAUACCGGAUGAUAUCGCGAGAUCAAAGAUUUAUCGCCUGAGGAUGAGCCCGCGUUGGAUUAGGUAGUUGGUGGGGUAAAGGCCUACCAAGCCGACGAUCCAUAGCUGGUCUGAGAGGAUGAUCAGCCACACUGGGACUGAGACACGGCCCAGACUCCUACGGGAGGCAGCAGUGGGGAAUAUUGGACAAUGGGCGCAAGCCUGAUCCAGCAAUGCCGCGUGAGUGAUGAAGGCCCUAGGGUUGUAAAGCUCUUUUACCCGGGAAGAUAAUGACUGUACCGGGAGAAUAAGCCCCGGCUAACUCCGUGCCAGCAGCCGCGGUAAUACGGAGGGGGCUAGCGUUGUUCGGAAUUACUGGGCGUAAAGCGCACGUAGGCGGCUUUGUAAGUCAGAGGUGAAAGCCUGGAGCUCAACUCCAGAACUGCCUUUGAGACUGCAUCGCUUGAAUCCAGGAGAGGUCAGUGGAAUUCCGAGUGUAGAGGUGAAAUUCGUAGG
Molecule: ribosomal RNA, 557 nt
Filed under: uncultured Sphingomonas sp.
Lineage: Bacteria; Pseudomonadati; Pseudomonadota; Alphaproteobacteria; Sphingomonadales; Sphingomonadaceae
Description: bacterial SSU rRNA
Rfam family: Bacterial small subunit ribosomal RNA
Source: RNAcentral